Molecule: long non-coding RNA, 285 nt
Organism: Rhineura floridana
Lineage: Eukaryota; Metazoa; Chordata; Lepidosauria; Squamata; Rhineuridae
Exons: 3
Source: RefSeq, a predicted model, not a curated record
UAGGUUUGCAAAAACUUGUGAGCACAUUUUCCCAUCACCUGCCUUUCCAUCAGAGGAUAUUGUGCCAAACUUUUGCCUUCUCAUCAUUCUAACUUAAGACUGCUGAUCUAUUCUUCCUCUCAGAAAAAGAAAGAUCUACAUUGACUCCAGAAAAAUAUACAGCAAUCACAACAACAAAAGACAAAAUUUAACAGGCUACACUGCUUACAGCAGGAGGAUCUAUAGAAGAAGACUUAAGCAGCCCAAAGGAAAACAACUGAGCAUAAUGACCAGUUUUACAUACAG